This 449-nucleotide ribosomal RNA is filed under the name uncultured bacterium. RNAcentral describes it as "bacterial SSU rRNA". It matches the Rfam family "Bacterial small subunit ribosomal RNA", at positions 355 to 796 of the family's 1533-position model. The record is from RNAcentral.
UCGAGAAUCUUUCGCAAUGGGCGAAAGCCUGACGAAGCGACGCCGUGUGAGUGAAGAAGGCCUUCGGGUUGUAAAACUCUUUCGCUUGGGAACAAGAAAGGGUAGUGAAUAACUAUCCAAUUUGAGGGUACCAGGUAAAGAAGCACCGGCUAACUACGUGCCAGCAGCUGCGGUAAUACGUAGGGUGCAAGCAUUAAUCGGAUUUAUUGGGCGUAAAGGGCGCGUAGGCGGGUUUAUAAGUCAGGUGUGAAAUUCCGAGACUCAAUUUCGGAGCUGCAUCUGAAACUAUAGAUCUAGAGGUUCGGCGGAGAAAAUGGAAUUCCACAUGUAGCGGUGAAAUGCGUGGAUAUGUGGAGGAACACCGGUGGCGAAAGCGGUUUUCUAGCUGACACCUGACGCUGAUGCGCGAGAGCAAGGGGAGCAAACAGGAUUAGAUACCCCCGUAGUCC